Molecule: unclassified non-coding RNA, 590 nt
Filed under: Sphingomonas sp. SLAU-24
Lineage: Bacteria; Pseudomonadati; Pseudomonadota; Alphaproteobacteria; Sphingomonadales; Sphingomonadaceae
Description: partial 16S-23S ribosomal RNA intergenic spacer
Rfam family: tRNA (bases 242-314)
Source: RNAcentral
GCUAGCUAAGGUGGUUAGAGCGCAGGCCUGAUAAGCCGUGAGGUCGGAGGUUUCAAGUCCUCCCCCGGCGCUAACCAGAGCGCUCCGCAGAUCGGGAGUCUUCGAUUGGUGCAUCUAGUGCCGCGGGAACGCAGUCGCGUUCUUGGCUAUUCGCCGCAUAAGCGCUCGACGGGCGCUAGAAGCGGAUUGCGGCAUCAGAAGGCUUCGCCUUCGUUGAUGCACGCAUCGACGUCAUGGGAACGGGGCAAUAGCUCAGGUGCAUGAGCCGUUGCUUCGCAAGCAUCCGGUCAUCGGUUCGAUCCCGAUAGGCUCCACCAUCCCCUUCAUAUAUCCAGAGAAGAAGAAGAACGGUUUUCCAACCAAGGGCUGGUGAUAUGGAGCGCAUUGCGCUCCUCUUUGACAUUGUGAAUGGGUUUUUUAAUCGAUGCCGUGGCGACAUGGUUUUCGGUUCCGCGCGAUCUUCGGAUCGGAUGGAAACGGAAGCGAUGAUCGUACACGAAUGAUUAUCUGGCUGAGUUUAAUAACCGCAUUGUUCAACGGCAGGAAAAGCACUGAUCUCCAGUGUGUCGUGGUGUGCGACUACGAGCUGG